This 218-nucleotide long non-coding RNA is filed under the name Mytilus galloprovincialis (Mediterranean mussel). The record is from RNAcentral. Lineage: Eukaryota; Metazoa; Mollusca; Bivalvia; Mytilida; Mytilidae.
UACUGUAAACCAACUUAUUUUCGCGAUCGAUUUAUUUUCGCGACUUUCGCGAGUAGGAAAAUAACGCGAAUAUUAAUUGUCGCGAAUAUGUAUAACUUGGAUCUUUCCUUAUAACCCUUUUCAAGUAAAUAAGAAAAUCGCGAAAAUAAAAAGCCGCGAAGUGGUCAAGAAAGGGUAAAACGCGAAAUAAAGUAUCCGCGAAAUUAAGUUGGUUUACA